Molecule: ribosomal RNA, 242 nt
Filed under: uncultured bacterium
Lineage: Bacteria
Description: partial 16S ribosomal RNA
Rfam family: Archaeal small subunit ribosomal RNA
Source: RNAcentral
CGAGUGGUCGGGACGUUUAUUGGGCCUAAAGCAUCCGUAGCCGGUUCUACAAGUCUUCCGUUAAAUCCAACUGCUUAACAGGUGGGCUGCGGAAGAUACUAUAGAGCUAGGAGGCGGGAGAGGCAAGCGGUACUCGAUGGGUAGGGGUAAAAUCCGUUGAUCCAUUGAAGACCACCAGUGGCGAAGGCGGCUUGCCAGAACGCGCUCGACGGUGAGGGAUGAAAGCUGGGGGAGCAAACCGG